CCCUUAGAUGUUCUGGGCCGCACGCGCGCUACACUGACGAAUGCAACGAGCUUAUAACCUUGGCCGAAAGGUCUGGGUAAUCUCCAAAUUUCGUCGUGAUGGGGAUAGAUUAUUUCAAUUAUUAAUCUUCAACGAGGAAUGCCUAGUAAGCGCAAGUCAUCAGCUUGCGUUGAUUACGUCCCUGCCCUUUGUACACACCGCCCGUCGCUCCUACCGAUUGAAUGGUCCGGUGAAGCGUUCGGACCGUGGCCUUUGGACGGUUCGCCGUCUGUUGGCUGCGGGAAGUUCGUUAAACCUUAUCAUUUAGAGGAAGGAGAAGUCGUANCA
RNAcentral lists this ribosomal RNA (327 nucleotides) under uncultured eukaryote. RNAcentral describes it as "partial 18S ribosomal RNA". It matches the Rfam family "Eukaryotic small subunit ribosomal RNA", at positions 1470 to 1796 of the family's 1831-position model. The record is from RNAcentral.